AACUGUUGCCUGUGCAUCUUUUUCAACAUUAGACAAAACUACAGUUGCUUCCUGGUGCAGAGCCUCGUCUUCCUUUGUUGCUCUGAACGUUGAAAGCGCAGAUCUUCAGGGAAGAUGUGACGUUCAACACACACAACCCCGCAACAAACAGCAGAACUGCAGCCCUCAUCUUGCAGACGAUUACCACCCUCCUCUUACCUUCAGUGUCAGUUUGACCAGGAGACUGACCUCCAGUCCAGCAGAGAUCCAUCUCUUCAAUGAGCUGCGCUGUAUUUGGGGAACAUGCAGGUCUUCAAUUUGCUCUCUGAAAGGAGGAUGCCACAGCCACAACAUGGCAACCCCCGCCACAGCCAGGAGAAGAAGGAAGAACAC
Molecule: non-coding RNA, 372 nt
Organism: Plectropomus leopardus (leopard coralgrouper)
Lineage: Eukaryota; Metazoa; Chordata; Actinopteri; Perciformes; Serranidae
Source: RefSeq, a predicted model, not a curated record